RNAcentral lists this ribosomal RNA (255 nucleotides) under uncultured bacterium. RNAcentral's name for it is "partial 16S ribosomal RNA". It matches the Rfam family "Bacterial small subunit ribosomal RNA", at positions 74 to 334 of the family's 1533-position model. The record is from RNAcentral.
CAAACCAAAGCUGGCGACCGGCGCACGGGUGAGUAACACGUAUCCAACCUGCCUCAUACUCGGGGAUAGCCUUUCGAAAGAAAGAUUAAUAUCCGAUAGCAUAUAUUUCCCGCAUGGGUUUUAUAUUAAAGAAAUUCGGUAUGAGAUGGGAAUGCGUUCCAUUAGUUUGUUGGGGGGGUAACGGCCCGCCAAGACUACGAUGGAUAGGGGUUCUGAGAGGAAGGUCCCCCACAUUGGAACUGAGACACGGUCCAA